UAUUGGCUUUAGGGGUGUUCCGAGCGAACUGAGAUUAAACCCUUUGAACCUGAUUCGGGUAAUACCGACGAAGGGAAAAGCGAAGAAAUUCUU
Molecule: non-coding RNA, 93 nt
Filed under: Solitalea canadensis
Lineage: Bacteria; Pseudomonadati; Bacteroidota; Sphingobacteriia; Sphingobacteriales; Sphingobacteriaceae
Also listed under: 1 other name
Description: TPP sequence
Rfam family: TPP riboswitch aptamer (THI element)
About the family: Vitamin B(1) in its active form thiamin pyrophosphate (TPP) is an essential coenzyme that is synthesised by coupling of pyrimidine and thiazole moieties in bacteria. The previously detected thiamin-regulatory element, thi box was extended, resulting in a new, highly conserved RNA secondary structure, the THI element, which is widely distributed in eubacteria and also occurs in some archaea.
Source: RNAcentral